UCAGGAUGAACGCUAGCUACAGGCUUAACACAUGCAAGUCGAGGGGCAGCAUUGGGAUAGCUUGCUAUCCAGAUGGCGACCGGCGCACGGGUGAGUAACGCGUAUCCAACCUUCCCUAUAGUAGAGAAUAGCCCGGCGAAAGUCGGAUUAAUGCUCUAUGUUGUGUUUUGAGGACAUCUGACGAACACCAAAGGUUCACCGCUAUAGGAUGGGGAUGCGUCUGAUUAGCUUGUUGGCGGGGUAACGGCCCACCAAGGCGACGAUCAGUAGGGGUUCUGAGAGGAAGGUCCCCCACAUUGGUACUGAGACACGGACCAAACUCCUACGGGAGGCAGCAGUGAGGAAUAUUGGUCAAUGGGCGAGAGCCUGAACCAGCCAAGUAGCGUGCAGGAUUGACUGCCCUAUGGGUUGUAAACUGCUUUUAUCAGGGAAUAAAGUGCGGCACGUGUGCCGUUUUGUAUGUACCUGAUGAAUAAGGACCGGCUAAUUCCGUGCCAGCCGCUGC
RNAcentral lists this ribosomal RNA (505 nucleotides) under uncultured bacterium. Its description in RNAcentral is "bacterial SSU rRNA". It matches the Rfam family "Bacterial small subunit ribosomal RNA", at positions 24 to 518 of the family's 1533-position model. The record is from RNAcentral.